Molecule: long non-coding RNA, 1000 nt
Organism: Alnus glutinosa
Lineage: Eukaryota; Viridiplantae; Streptophyta; Magnoliopsida; Fagales; Betulaceae
Exons: 2
Source: RefSeq, a predicted model, not a curated record
CUCUCUAUUCAGUAAUUCUCAUAACCGGUUCCUGCUCUUCUUUCUUAUUCCUUUCUUCUUGUUCUUAUCUACUUCUUCCUUCGUUUCUCUUCUCGCCCGAAUGCACAGAGAGAGAGACGAGAGAGUGAGAUCGAGAGAUUGAGAGGUAGAUCGAGAGAUUGAGAAGGAGAUCAGAGAGAGAGUUGAGAGCAGAGAGUGAGAUCGAGAGAGAGAUUGAGGGAAAUUAAGAGAGAGGAUCCGGUGGAUCCGUGAGCUGGAGUACCCGUGGCCAGGGGAGGUCCGAUCCUCCAUGUUUUUUGGCGGUCUGGAGGCUGAUCUUCCGGUGGAUGUCGCCGGUGAGCCCGCAACCCGCCAGACCCGAGAGAGAGAACCAGGGCGGUUCGUGGACCCGUGAGCCGAACCCGAUCCUUCCGGAGGUCCAUCCUCCAUGUUCGGCGGCCAGAAGCCGAUUUCCGGCGGGCCAGGUGUAGUUCCGGCCGAACCCCGAAGACCCGUGACCCAGAACCCGUGAGGAAGACCCGGUCCUCCGUGUACGUUUUCCGGCGACUUUUCCGGCGGAAUCAGUGGCUAAUUCCGGUGGAUUUGCUGAGAAAAUCCUUGGGAUGAUGAAUUGAGACUGCACAAAAGGGCUGUAAGUAUAAAUUACUUAUUGAAGGUAGUACUGGAUUUUAAUAGUUUUGUGUUUAUGUUUUAUUUUAAUUGAAUGCGUAUGAAUGAUUAUUGCAUACAGUUAAUAAUUAAGCUAAAAAUAUUGGGAGUGAUGUCUCUCAAAGGUUCAGGAUGGGAAUAGUGCCUGGAACUGAAAACAUAAUAAUUCAUAUUGAUUGGGACGUCUUUCAAAGUGCUAAUAGUGACGUGGAACGUACUCUGCCAGUGCGAAAAUAAGCUAAUAAAAAUGUAAUGUAGAGGGGACGGCUUCGAGAAAGACGUUAAUCAGGUGACGGCUCUAAACGAGAGGAGUGCAAUGACUAUAUUGAACUGUUAAACUUUGCAUAGAAAA